RNAcentral lists this ribosomal RNA (483 nucleotides) under uncultured bacterium. RNAcentral describes it as "partial 16S ribosomal RNA". It matches the Rfam family "Bacterial small subunit ribosomal RNA", at positions 30 to 507 of the family's 1533-position model. The record is from RNAcentral.
AUUGAACGCUGGCGGCAGGCCUAACACAUGCAAGUCGAGCGGAUGAAGGGAGCUUGCUCCUGGAUUCAGCGGCGGACGGGUGAGUAAUGCCUAGGAAUCUGCCUGGUAGUGGGGGAUAACGUCCGGAAACGGGCGCUAAUACCGCAUACGUCCUGAGGGAGAAAGUGGGGGAUCUUCGGACCUCACGCUAUCAGAUGAGCCUAGGUCGGAUUAGCUAGUUGGUGGGGUAAAGGCCUACCAAGGCGACGAUCCGUAACUGGUCUGAGAGGAUGAUCAGUCACACUGGAACUGAGACACGGUCCAGACUCCUACGGGAGGCAGCAGUGGGGAAUAUUGGACAAUGGGCGAAAGCCUGAUCCAGCCAUGCCGCGUGUGUGAAGAAGGGCUUCGGAUUGUAAAGCACUUUAAGUUGGGAGGAAGGGCAGUAAGUAAUACCUUGCUGUUUUGACGUUACCAACAGAAUAAGCACCGGCUAACUUCGUG